CGAGCACCCCAACCCAAGAACCGCCGCUGCCUGUAGCUGCGGUUUAAGCAGUGGUGCACACAGCAAAGGUGCCUCGUCGCCUUUGGGGGUCUGCGAAGUGCCCCCCAGAGUGAAUCGAGGGGCCCCACAGCC
Molecule: small nucleolar RNA, 132 nt
Organism: Nannospalax galili (Upper Galilee mountains blind mole rat)
Lineage: Eukaryota; Metazoa; Chordata; Mammalia; Rodentia; Spalacidae
Source: Ensembl